Molecule: long non-coding RNA, 2960 nt
Organism: Neofelis nebulosa (Clouded leopard)
Lineage: Eukaryota; Metazoa; Chordata; Mammalia; Carnivora; Felidae
Exons: 2
Source: RefSeq, a predicted model, not a curated record
UGCACUUGCUUUCAGGGCAGGACCGCGGACGCCCCGCAUCCCCGCAGGAAGCGGGGGAUCCGCAGGAACAGGAAUCGAAAGGCAACUGCCUGGCACGAGGCUGGCACAAUCUGUUCAAGGGACUCGCCUGCCGGCAUGGGGUCAGCGUGAGCGAGAAGGACCUGGUAACAGAUCUCUCCUCCGGCCACAGAGUUUCCCAGAGAUGAGAUUGGUGCCAGAACAUUAUCGGAAAUAAAGGAAGAUUAAAAACAAAAGGUACAAGCCUAAGGGACCGUGUUCACCAAGAGGUUGUGAUUGUAAACAACGAACAGAAGCUGAAGGAGACACAUAGAUGACCAGUGAAUUUUACAGAAAAAUUAGACUUUUUGUACCUCUGAAGUCCGACCAAACACCACCGUAAGGCAAUGCUUCCCUGCUUUCCUUGUUGAUGUUCAUCUUUUGUUUUGUUCAACAAACCUGCAUCAAACUUGCGCCUUUAAUCUCUGAUCGUUCUGGAACAAAAGGAAAAUUAAAACUUUUGACAUUUAAGUGAAAGUGUUAGGUUUUAGACACUGUCUGGUGAACUCGAGUUCAUGAGGAGUGGCCAGUCCAAUUCCGGUCACGAGCAGGUACAAAUAACAACAUGUCAGCACAUCUGUCAGCCAAACAGGUUUUCAAGUUUCAAAGGCCAUGAUCCUUCUGAAGUACGUCCAGGAUGACAGCUUUUAUCAGGGUGCUGAAUUCAUCAUGAUCACUUUCAGAGUGAAAGAAACUGCUCUCCAACACAAAGUUUGGACAGUAAAUAAUCUCCCGUUUUCCCUCCUUGAUGUUCCGCGAGAUUGUGACUGGUGUAAGUAUAGUCCAAGUUACCAAAGCAAAGGGUAAAAAUAGACAAGAUAUUUUCAAGGAUUCCAAAAUUUGGGAUGGAAAUUCUUAGCGCCAAUGCUUUUGAAGAUAACAGGAGAAAGAAGCCAAAAUUCUUGACAACUCAGAGUCAAAAUACUUUUGGAGAUACCACUGAAAGGUUGGACAACUCCAGCCACAGCCAUGGCCAUGGCUGCAGAGAAUCAAACAUUGUCAAAAGAGAAAAUUUCAGCCUUCUGAGAGAGAAUUCACCUUUCCUUGAUCUCUGAUUUCACAUAGUUGAACUUUUGCUCGUGUCUUUUUUUUUUUUCCUUAGUAUAGUUGACACACAGAGUUGCAUUACUUUCAGGUGUAAAACACAGUGAUUCAACAAAUUUAGGUCAUUUGAUUUUAAUCCAUUAAUACAAAGAUCUCACCUGCCAACAAGAGUUUAAAAAAUAAUAUGAUAAACUUCUUAUGAAGCAUCAAGAAAAGAUCACUCCCCACAUCAAGGAACUCAAGAUCAGCAAUAAACAAACUUCUCUCUCUCUCUCUCUCUCUCUCUCUCUCUCCCUCUCUCUCUCUCUUUAGUUUAGGAAAUGCCUUACGGAAGAAAAUUGUUUUUAGAAAAACAAUAGGGAUACACUGCAACGUGUGAGGGCUUGGAGGAAAAGCUAUCACAAAGACUGGAAAGUUCUCUUAAGGCUCAUGAUGUGUGAACCUCAAGCCCAAUGUGCUCCACUCAAAUGUGGCUCAUAUUUGAAAUAGUUUAGAGGUUUUCUUACUUAACACUGGAAAGAAGAUUUUUUAUUUAAAAUUUUAUGAUUUGCUCUACCUACUGCAAUGUAUUUUGCAAGAAUUUUAUCCAUUAUACACACAACGUGAUACAUACACCUAGUAGUAUGCCUGCAUACAUUAAUUCUAGUGACUAAUACACAUGGGAAAAAUACAUGGUUUGUGAAUUUUGAUCUUAGACAUAAGAGAGAAACAAACUUCUAUACCUCAAUAAAUCUUCUGGGCAGUGACUAUCUUCAUUCUAAACCCCAGCUGAAUCAUGGAACUAAUUACAGGUGAGAAGCUUAGCAGCCCAUGAUGCCCAGAGUUCACUGUCAUCAUCGGCAGAAAUUCAAGCUGUUUUGUUUGAGACUUACAUACGAUCUCCGAUUUACUUGACACCUUAAAGACUAUAUUAUAAGGUGCAACAUUUCUUUCAUUUGCUAAGGCAGGUAGUAUACCCUCUUUAUGGGUAAAAAAAAAUUACGGGAACAAAAGAUUAAUUGAUUUGCCUACAUUCUUUCAUUCAGUUUGUUAAUGGUACUAAUGAUGAAAAUUAUGAGUCUUUUGAUACUAGGUUUUUCUUGUACUUCUCUCUAGACCAGUAUUUUUCUAAAUGAUUUUGACUGGGAUCUACAAGAAAAAUUACAUCUCAUAAACAACCCAGUGAAAUAUACAUCAACCAACACUAAAAAAGAAAAGAGCUUUAUGAAACAAAAUUUAACAUUUCUUUCUUCUUUUUCUUUCUUUUUCACACUACUCUCUCUCUUUCUCUCUCUCUCUCUCUCAGUUGCUAUUCUAGUCACUUAGUACACUUCUUUUCUUUAAAACCAAAAUACUGGUUUUCCAACCCUCGAAAGGGGCCCAGAUAUGCAGAUUGAAAAACACUGCUUUACAUUUGACAUCUUCACAUGCUUUUUCUGUUGUCAUUUUGUUCUAUUAUUCAGUUUUAGAAAAAUAAAGCACUCAUAAAGGCAUGUCAAUAUUUUGCAGCAGAACUUCUAGAAAACUACUAUUUUUCUGACUACUAAUUCUCAUUCCUCUUUGGGGCUACAAUCUCAUCCCAUCCAUACCCCAAUGUCCUUUGCUUUUUAAAACAGUGAUGAUAUUAUCUCAAUAAUUAUUCUUGUUUUUAACAUCUUGGAAAUAAUUAAACAGUUGUCAAUUUUGUGUAAGUCCUCUAAAUUUUAUUUGUUGUUGUUAAAAGUUUUGGUUAGUGUUGAAAUGUUUAUGUCUGUUGAUAUUUUUAGGUACUUGAAAUCAUAAUGUCUAAGAGCUAUGAAAAAUGACCCUAUGAUCUGCCUACUGCUAUUUCUGGGCUCUUAUGUAUUUCUGUAUACAUAAAUAUAUCUCUAAAAAGCUGA